CAGUUCUCUUCCCGCUGCCAUUGGUCUAGUCUAUUUUUGGACCUGUGUCCCCGUGUGCUCACCGACUGCGUGCAGUUACAGUGGAAGCUUCACCCCAAAUGAUAACUGGACGUGAAAACCCCUCUAUCUGGGCUUAUUCAUCUGCACACCCCAAGGAAACUGGAGAUGUAAAAUCAUUUUAAAGUUAAGUGUAAGUAUGGCAUUAGAGCCACUAACAGAACCAGAAAAGGGCUUCAAGUAAAGUGCAAAGUUUACGACCUGAACCUGUGGCCCCCACCAGCUCCAUCACAUCUGAGACGGACAGACAUGCUUCAGGUCUCCAGACAUCACGCCAUCUCACUGAUUUGUUGGGUAAGAGUGUGCGUUGGGUAAAGAGUCAUCCUUAAUUCCAGACUUGGCUUCGAACUGCUCAUAGGAUUAAAGCCUCCAUUGUCUGCAGCCCUGAUCCUCAACCGCAGCAUCUGCCAGUCGGCCCACUGUCAGCUACACGGAAGGACAGGCCCAGUGUCUGGUCACCAAAUGGACCAGCAUCUCAAACAAUCUUAUAAAUAAACACGGGGGAUAAGGCUUAGCGUGCACACGUUUGCUGAGCGCGGGAUCUCUCGGCCGGGAGGUGAUGGUGCACCCCCACCCUCCCCACCUCCUCUACCCCGAUCAGUGGCUGGAAAGCUUUGAAAGGUGCAAGAGGCGACCCAUCAGGAGCGCCCUGGAUGCCAUCGCCCCACCCAGGAGAGAGCUCCAGGCACAGGGGAUAGGCUGAGAAUUGACUCGUGCCCGGCUUUCGCUUGUCUGCCUUUCUGGCGCAAAUCAGGAACAGAAUUUGGGAGGAGGCCUGCCUCUUCCCGGACUGCCCUGCCACCCUUAGUCCUUUGGCCCCUGCCCUGAAUUCUUUUCAGAUCCUUGCAGAGGCCAGGCUCUGGCCCGUGCCCCAGCUGGGUCUCAUUUCCUCCACCUUGGCCUGUGGAUUAGUCAGGGGUCAGCAGAGGAACAGAACCAACAGGACAUACAGAGACAUAUACAAGAGGAGAUUUAGUCUACGGAUUGGCUCACAUGUUACAGAGGUUGAAAAGUCCCGUGACCAGUUGUCCACCAGCUGAAGGACCAAGAGAGCUGGCAGCGUAAUUCGGCCCGAGUCCAAAGGCCUGAGAAGUGGGGGGCGGGGUUGAUGGUUAAGUCCUGAUCUGAGUUUGAAAGGCAGAGAACCAUGAGUGAUGUCUGCAGGCAGCAGAAGACGGAUGUCUCAGCUCAAGCAGAGAGAGAGUUGGAGUUGCCCAGGCAACUGGACAGAUAUUCUGCCGCCUCCACAAAGGCAGAAGCUCCAGGCAUCCCGACUCUGCAGUCUCUGUGGACCUCUAGGAUUUGGCCCC
This is a long non-coding RNA of Aethalodelphis obliquidens (Pacific white-sided dolphin), 1367 nucleotides long. RefSeq lists it as uncharacterized. The record is from RefSeq and is a predicted model, not a curated record. The transcript has 3 exons. Lineage: Eukaryota; Metazoa; Chordata; Mammalia; Artiodactyla; Delphinidae.